RNAcentral lists this ribosomal RNA (253 nucleotides) under uncultured bacterium. Its description in RNAcentral is "partial 16S ribosomal RNA". It matches the Rfam family "Bacterial small subunit ribosomal RNA", at positions 524 to 776 of the family's 1533-position model. The record is from RNAcentral.
GACAGAGGUCCCAAGCGUUGUUCGGAUUCACUGGGCGUAAAGGGUGCGUAGGUGGUAAGGCAAGUCAGGUGUGAAAUCUCCGGGCUCAACCCGGAAAUGGCAUUCGAAACUACCUUGCUAGAGGGUUUGAGGGGGGACUGGAAUACUUGGUGUAGCAGUGAAAUGCGUAGAUAUCAAGUGGAACACCAGUGGCGAAGGCGAGUCCCUGGAAAACUCCUGACACUGAGGCACGAAAGCUAGGGGAGCAAACAGG